CUACAUUAGGGGGACACCCCUUUCCACUUGCGCUACAGAGAUGUGGUGUAUAUCAAAAAAUCUAUUUUGAGCCAUACAACACAGAUCUCACUUCAGAGUUUGUUUACACACAACACAACUUAUAAUCUAACAACCUGACAAGAUACAUAAUUAUGAGGACAACUGAUAAUUAGAUGACAAGCCCCGCCUAUGACAAAACUAUUAUAAGGACUAACAUGAUUUAUAAGGACAGUGUCUAUACACACACACACACACACGUCAUUAAGGUGUAUUAAAGGGUCAAACAUGAAUAACAGGAACAUGGCUAAACACAUACACACACACACACUUCAUUAAGGUGUAUUAAAGGGUCAAACAUGAAUAACAGGAACAUGGCUACACACACACACACACUUCAUUAAGGUGUAUUAAAGGGUCAAACAUGAAUAACAGGAACAUGGCUACACACACACACACACACACACACUUCAUUAAGGUGUAUUAAAGAGUCAAACAUGAAUAAAUGGAACAUGGCUAAACACAAAAGUGAAGGCAUUGUGCAUUAAAAGGACAUACCUAAUUUCUGAGAACAAAUUAUUAGACUCAGCACAUCGUACACCAGCACUAUGCAUUGCAUAGACAUCUCUCACCUGUGGGGACAUACUCCAACAGACCCAACUAUUUAAAAUAUGUAUGAUAUUUUUGUAUAGUCAUGUAAAUAUUCAACCAUACCUUUUACAACAUGCAUUCAAGGACCUGCUUUUUGUGUGAUAUGACCGUUUAUCCACAUGACCAUAUGAUCUUUUAACAGACAUGAGGACAUAUAACAGUAUGCAGUGUCAGUGAACAAGGAGCAAAAGUUUAAUAAGUGCAUAUUUAGCAUUACAGUAGUUGCCCUCCUGAUUUAUAAUGUAUAAUUUCAGAAACAAAAUUUCAGAAAUAAGUAUUAAUGAACAUUGCUGAAUGCAUAUGAACAGCUUAAACAGUUUAAAGCUUAAAACUCAAAGCUUAAAGAUUUUUAAACUUUUCCCAUACAUAUAAAC
Ictalurus punctatus (channel catfish) is the source of this 1022-nucleotide long non-coding RNA. NCBI's taxonomy places the organism in Eukaryota, Metazoa, Chordata, Actinopteri, Siluriformes, Ictaluridae. The record is from Ensembl.